Gracilinanus agilis (Agile Gracile Mouse Opossum) is the source of this 139-nucleotide small nucleolar RNA. RefSeq annotates it as small nucleolar RNA SNORD10. NCBI's taxonomy places the organism in Eukaryota, Metazoa, Chordata, Mammalia, Didelphimorphia, Didelphidae. The transcript has a single exon. The record is from RefSeq and is a predicted model, not a curated record.
GCUCUGUGAUGAUCCCCUAUGCGUGUCAACUGAGCUCAGCUUCCACUGUUCUCCCAGUGCUAUAAGUGGGUGUUUUGCCUUCUAGUCUCUGGGCUGGCAGAGGCCUCUGUGCAUAUGAUCAUAAUUUAACCCUGAGAGC